Monopterus albus (swamp eel) is the source of this 443-nucleotide long non-coding RNA. RefSeq lists it as uncharacterized. Lineage: Eukaryota; Metazoa; Chordata; Actinopteri; Synbranchiformes; Synbranchidae. The record is from RefSeq and is a predicted model, not a curated record. The transcript has 3 exons.
GUGGAAAUGUUCAUUGCCGUGUUCGUCAGGAACAUCUGCAUCAGAGCGGCCGUACUUCCCCAUGAUGAAGGCGACUGCUGCUGAAGUGCUCCUGGACAAGGAACUUUACUCCAGCAGGGCUUCGUAACAGAUACAGACCCCUCCUGGGAGGAUAAGAUGUCAUCCCACUGCCAAGAUUUAUCGCAAUCCUCCUUGCUCUCAUUGUUCUUAAUCACUUAUAAUUAAACAAAAUUCUUGUUAAAGUGCAAUUUGUGAGUUUAUUUGUUUUUUAUUGGGAAAUAACUGUAGAAGUAUCCUCUAGUUUGUUGUUUUGGAGCAUUUUAAGCUUUGGAGACAGUGUUUAUGGUAAUAAUAGUGUGUGGGAUUAAUGUGAAGAAACAUGGUGAGACUGACUGCAAAGAAACAGAUUGCCUGCAUCUCUAACCUUUGUCUAAGCUGCAGAG